Molecule: long non-coding RNA, 513 nt
Organism: Panthera uncia (snow leopard)
Lineage: Eukaryota; Metazoa; Chordata; Mammalia; Carnivora; Felidae
Exons: 3
Source: RefSeq, a predicted model, not a curated record
AGCCGGAGAAGCUGCUGUACUGUGUCGGCCUCCUCUCUCUUGUCCAACACUCUCCAGAAGGAGAGAGGAGGCACUCUGCAGAUCCUGCUCAUCUUUAAGGACCAACUGAGAGCCACCCUUCACAGUCUCUCCUCCUCCCAGCAAAAAGAAGACUUUCCAUUUGGGUGUUGUUUAAAGGAGAGAGGUUUGCUAUGGCAUCAACAGACUACUAAGAAAGAGACUAGCUUCCCAACAACAGAAGAUCUCAUGGACUAAAGUAAGAAGGGUAACUUGGAGGGGCGCUGGGGUGGUUCAGUCGGUUGAGCGGCUGACUUUGGCUCAGGUCAUGGUCUCACGGUUCGUGAAUUUGGGCUCUGUGCUAACAGCUCGGAGCCUGGAGCCUGCUUCGGAUUCUGUGUCUCCCUCUCUCUCUGCCCCUGUCCUGCUCACACUGUCUCUCUCUCUCAAAAAUAAAUAUAGGUUAAAAGAAAAAAGAAGGAUAACUUGGAUUUGUGUAGUGCUUUUGGUACACUA